GACGAACGCUGGCGGCGUGCUUAACACAUGCAAGUCGAACGGAAAGGCUCUGCUUGCAGGGUACUCGAGUGGCGAACGGGUGAGUAACACGUGGGUGAUCUGCCCUGCACUUCGGGAUAAGCCUGGGAAACUGGGUCUAAUACCGGAUAGGAGCCAUUUUUAGUGUGAUGGUUGGAAAGUUUUUUUCGGUGUAGGAUGAGCUCGCGGCCUAUCAGCUUGUUGGUGGGGUAAUGGCCUACCAAGGCGGCGACGGGUAGCCGGCCUGAGAGGGUGGACGGCCACAUUGGGACUGAGAUACGGCCCAGACUCCUACGGGAGGCAGCAGUGGAGAAUAUUGCACAAGGGGCGCAAGCCUGAUGCAGCGACGCCGCGUGGGGGAUGACGGCCUUCGGGUUGUAAACUCCUUUCGCUAGGGACGAAGCUGUUUGUGACGGUACCUAGAGAAGAAGCACCGGCUAACUACGGG
RNAcentral lists this ribosomal RNA (466 nucleotides) under uncultured bacterium. RNAcentral describes it as "partial 16S ribosomal RNA". It matches the Rfam family "Bacterial small subunit ribosomal RNA", at positions 28 to 507 of the family's 1533-position model. The record is from RNAcentral.